CUUUACUGAGUGUCGUGGCGGGCCGGCACGUUUACUUUGAACAAAUUAGAGUGCUAAAAGCAGGCCUCAUGCCUGAAUAUUGUGUGCAUGGAAUAAUAGAAUAGGACCUCGGUUCUAUUUUGUUGGUUUUCUGGACCAGAGGUAAUGAUUAAGAGGAACGGACGGGGGCAUUCGUAUUGAGACGUUAGAGGUGAAAUUCUUGGAUCGUCUCAAGACGGACAGAAGCGAAAGCAUUUGCCAAGAACGUUUUCAUUAAUCAAGAACGAAAGUUAGAGGUUCGAAGGCGAUCAGAUACCGCCCUAGUUCUAACCAUAAACGAUGCCAGCCAGCGAUCCGCCAAAGUUCCUCCGAUGACUUGGCGGGCAGCUUCCGGGAAACCAAAGCGUUUGGGUUCCGGGGGAAGUAUGGUUGCAAAGCUGAAACUUAAAGGAAUUGACGGAAGGGCACCACCAGGAGUGGAGCCUGCGGCUUAAUUUGACUCAACACGGGAAACCUCACCAGGUCCGGACACCGGAAGGAUUGACAGAUUGAGAGCUCUUUCUUGAUUCGGUGGGUGGUGGUGCAUGGCCGUUCUUAGUUGGUGGAACGAUUUGUCUGGUUAAUUCCGAUAACGAACGAGACUCUAGCCUGCUAACUAGCCGUUUCCGGCAUCAUAAGCUGCCGGCGGCAUAAAAAUCUUCUUAGAGGGACAGGCGGCUUCUAGCCGCACGAGAUUGAGCAAUAACAGGUCUGUGAUGCCCUUAGAUGUCCUGGGCCGCACGCGCGCUACAAUGAAGGUAUCAACGUGUCUUCCCAGGCCGAACGGUCCGGGUAACCCGCUGAACCACCUUCGUGCUAGGGAUUGGGGCUUGCAAUUGCUCCCCAUGAACGAGGAAUUCCCAGUAAGCACGAGUCAUAAGCUCGUGUUGAUUACGUCCCUGCCCUUUGUACACACCGCCCGUCGCUACUACCGAUUGAAUGAUUUAGUGAGGUCUUCAGACUGGUGCGCGAUAGCAUUAUUCAUAGUGCUGCCGAUGCUACUGGAAAGAUGACCAAACUUGAUCAUUUAGAGGAAGUAAAAGUCGUAAC
This 1068-nucleotide ribosomal RNA is filed under the name Forcipula clavata. RNAcentral describes it as "SSU rRNA". It matches the Rfam family "Eukaryotic small subunit ribosomal RNA", at positions 721 to 1795 of the family's 1831-position model. The record is from RNAcentral. Lineage: Eukaryota; Metazoa; Arthropoda; Insecta; Dermaptera; Labiduridae.